UACAGAGGUCUCAAGCGUUGUUCGGAUUCAUUGGGCGUAAAGGGCGCGUAGGCUGCGGGGCAAGUCGGGUGUGAAAUCUCAGAGCUCAACUCUGAAACUGCACUCGAUACUGCUUUGCUCGAGGACUGGAGAGGAGAUUGGAAUUCACGGUGUAGCAGUGAAAUGCGUAGAUAUCGUGAGGAAGACCAGUGGCGAAGGCGAAUCUCUGGACAGUUCCUGACGCUGAGGCACGAAGGCCAGGGGAGCAAACAGG
Molecule: ribosomal RNA, 253 nt
Filed under: uncultured bacterium
Lineage: Bacteria
Description: partial 16S ribosomal RNA
Rfam family: Bacterial small subunit ribosomal RNA
Source: RNAcentral